This 447-nucleotide ribosomal RNA is filed under the name Triticum aestivum (bread wheat). Its description in RNAcentral is "partial small subunit ribosomal RNA". Lineage: Eukaryota; Viridiplantae; Streptophyta; Magnoliopsida; Poales; Poaceae. The record is from RNAcentral.
AUGUCUUCUCGUAGUGAGGUUCUCUCUAUUUAUAAGCGUUUUGCUGCCAUGAUCCACACUCAGUUCUCUACACCUAUUUGUGUAUUUCGUGCUGAUUCUGCGGGCGAAUUUAUCUGCAAAAUGUUGCUUGGUUUUCUUGCCGAGCAAGGUACUAUUGCUCAGUUCUCAUGUCCUGGUGCUCACGCUCAGAAUGGUGUGGCUGAGCGCAAACAUCGUCACCUUCUUGAGACAGCUCGUGCAAUGAUGACUGCCGCCUCUCUUCCACCUCAUUUUUGGGCUGAGGCUGUCUCCACGGCCACAUAUCUCAUAAACAUUCAACCAUCAUAUGCUCUGCAGGGUCAUAUUCCUCUAGAGCGUCUUUUUGAUCGUCCUCCUGAUUAUUCGGCGCUUCGGUUGUUCGUUGUGUUUGCUAUGUUCUCCUUGCGCCCCGAGAACGCACCAAACUAA